GAAAGCUUCUCAGCCACUCCAGAAAAUGGAUGUGGCUUGGGAGAUUGUGGAGGGACUGUGCAGGCCCCUGUUUGUCUGCUCCUCUGAAACAUAUUAGUGGCGUCUGGUUCAGACCCACCAAUGGGUGUGAUAAACUAUCAGUGCCCUUGGGUGGUGUGCUGCGUGUGGCUGCUUUUGAUCGAUUGUGACCA
Molecule: unclassified non-coding RNA, 191 nt
Filed under: uncultured Basidiomycota
Lineage: Eukaryota; Fungi; Basidiomycota
Description: sequence contains ITS2
Source: RNAcentral